This 459-nucleotide ribosomal RNA is filed under the name Triticum aestivum (bread wheat). RNAcentral describes it as "partial small subunit ribosomal RNA". Lineage: Eukaryota; Viridiplantae; Streptophyta; Magnoliopsida; Poales; Poaceae. The record is from RNAcentral.
AUGCCUGUUCCUUUAGUUUCUCCAGCACAACCUAGAGAGUUUGCUGGGUGCGAAUCUUACCCCUCUAGUGUGUUGUGUUCACAGGGUCUCUACAGGGGUACUCUCGCUCAGCGUCGAGCUCUUCAGCGGGCAACCAGGCAGCACCUGCAGCUGGAUACGAGGAAUGUGGAUUCUCUGGCAAUGCAAGUUUACAGGGAGCUCAAGAAGACUGCUAUCCUGGGUGACAAGGUCCUGUCCCCAGUUGACGUGGCCAGGGUCCUGAAGGCUGAGGCCGAUGUCUCGGGCCUGCAUCCUAAUGACCUGAAGACGUGGAAGCUGAUAAAGGCCUGCACGGGAAACAUCAACAGCGUCUCUGGCGUGGUCAGUACUGCGGGUUCUGCUGGUGGAGCCAUAUGGACCCUACGUCAGUGGAACACGAGCUAUCCCAUGACUGAACUGCCUGAAGACUUCUUCUGGUAG